Molecule: unclassified non-coding RNA, 689 nt
Filed under: Skoua fertilis
Lineage: Eukaryota; Fungi; Ascomycota; Leotiomycetes; Myxotrichaceae
Description: sequence contains 28S rRNA gene
Rfam family: Eukaryotic large subunit ribosomal RNA
Source: RNAcentral
GCGGAGGAAAAGAAACCAACAGGGAUUGCCUCAGUAACGGCGAGUGAAGCGGCAACAGCUCAAAUUUGAAAUCUGGCCCCCUCGGGGUCCGAGUUGUAAUUUGUAGAAGAUGCUUCGGGUGUGGCCCCGGUCUAAGUUCCUUGGAACAGGACGUCACAGAGGGUGAGAAUCCCGUAUGUGACCGGUGGCCUCCCCCCGUGUGAAGCUCUUUCGACGAGUCGAGUUGUUUGGGAAUGCAGCUCAAAAUGGGUGGUAAAUUUCAUCUAAAGCUAAAUAUUGGCCAGAGACCGAUAGCGCACAAGUAGAGUGAUCGAAAGAUGAAAAGCACUUUGGAAAGAGGGUUAAACAGUACGUGAAAUUGUUGAAAGGGAAGCGCUUGCAACCAGACUUGCGCGCGGUCGAUCAUCCGGGGUUCUCCCCGGUGCACUCGGCCGUGCGCAGGCCAGCAUCGGUUUGGGCGGCCGGACAAAGGCCUCGGGAAUGUGGCUCCUUCGGGAGUGUUAUAGCCCGAGGUGCAAUGCGGCCAGCCCGGACCGAGGACCGCGCUUCGGCUAGGAUGCUGGCGUAAUGGUUGUAAGCGGCCCGUCUUGAAACACGGACCAAGGAGUCUAACAUCUAUGCGAGUGUUUGGGUGGCAAACCCAUCCGCGUAAUGAAAGUGAACGGAGGUGAGAACCCUUAAGGGCGCAU